AGGCCUUGUCAAAACAGACCCCUGAUGUCAAAACGGUGGCAUCAGCCUAUCCUGUGCCCCUGCAGGGAGUAGAAACAACAGUGACUUCCAAAUCCAAGAAAGAAAUCUGUAACAUAGGCCAUUUGCGGACAACCAAGAUAUCACUGCAGUUUGUCACAGUGUAGGGAUCCUGCCAGGCAGGUCCUAGAGGAGGAGUCAUGACUGAAAGAGGGACAGAAGCGAAUCCUGGCUGAAUCAUGCCCUUGAAAGCCCCUCGUUCCAGUUAGUCCAGCUGCUCUAGGCUCCCCAGGUAAACCCUGCUUCCCUUCCCCCAGCCCCAGCCAUCCCCAUGCUACUCCCUGAGGCUCCAAACCUACCAAUUCCUAAUUUUCCUUUAGAUCUCAGCUUCCUCAUGGAAGCUUUCCUAAGGCUCCCCAAGCUUUGUCAUCAUAGCACGUACUAUGAUUUAUGAUUAGAUAUUUAUGAAAUGUAUCACCCAGGCCUGUCUUCCCUGUCAGACUAUAAAUUCCAUGAGUCCAGAGAUCACGACAGUCUUGUUUACCCCCAUCUCCUCCAAGCCUAGCAGUCUGGCAUACAGUAGGUGCUUUUGUCAAUAAUAUUUCUUAAGUGAAUGAAUGAAUAAAUGAAUAGAGAAUACAUGAGUGAUGAGAAAGAGGAAGAGCCAAAAAGAAAGAAAAAGAAGGUACGAAUGGAAGCCAUCAAAGAGCCUAGAAGGAGGCAGUGGAGGAAACCAAUGCAGGAUGAAGGAAAGGUGUUUCAGUACCUCAGCCAGGAGCAGGAAUGAGUCAGACUGAGAAGAGUCAUGGGUGCCAUAAGCAGAAAUAAUACUCAUAGUUGACAAAAGGGUAAUGCAUAAGCCACUGUCUCAUUAAUAAAGAAAAACAUGCACGUUAUUAAAAUCAAACAUGAGAACUAUCCUAUACUCAUUAAUUCAUUCAAUAGAUACUUAUUAAGCACCUACUAUAUGCCAGGCUCUGAUCUAGGAGCUGCAGACGCAUCAGUGAACACACACACAAAAAAACAAAGUUCCUGUGCUCAUGAAGCUCACAUUCUAGGAAAGCGAGAUAAACCAAUACAUCCUUGUUCAUAUAACUUAACGAGCUUGUUCACAAGCUUCUUGUUAAUGAGUAAAAUUCAUCUUAGUUGCUCUGAAUUAUUUCCCUUAGCUCCAGUUCUUAAAAAACAAUAAGCUAGGGACUUCCCUGGUGGUGCAGUGGUUAAGAAUCCACCUGCCAAUGCAGGGGACACGGGUUCGAGCCCUGGUCCGGGAAGAUCCCACAUGCCGCAGAGCAACUAAGCCCGCGAGCCACAACUACUGAGCCCGCAUGCCACAACUACUGAAGCCCGCGCGCCUAGAGCCUGUGCUCCGCAACAAGAGAAGCCACCGCAAUGAGAAGCCCACGCACCACAACAAAGAGUAGCCCCUGCUCGCCCACGCGCAGCAACGAAGACCAAACGCAGCCAAAUAAAUAAUUUAAAAAAAACUUAAAACAAAAAAACAAAAAAAAACAAUAAGCUAACCUUUAAAGAAUUGUGAGAGGAAAUGCUAUAUAAUUGUAUCCAUGAGGAUCCUUAAGAAAAUAGGUUCCAAAGAUUCUUCCACAAUAAGAUAAAAAGGAACCCUUGAGUUAUAAUCAGAGUUCUCUCAUUUCUUAGUAGUGGUAUAAAUUAAAAAUGGGUGGAAAAGAAAGAUUUUAAAACUUCACAGGAAAUAAUGCAAUUAUCAUUUAAAACCUUUAAAAAAAAAAGGAAACAAAAAAGGAAUAUGCAAAAUAAAUGUUCCAAAAGCAUGUGGGGACAGGCUUGUAAGUCUCAGCUCUGUUUAUGAGUCGGAAAACUGAAUGGAAAUGGACAGGCACCUGUAAAAAUAUAAGAUGCCCAGUCUGCUACUAGGGCCCCCUCUGAGAGAGAGGUCAGAGGGUUCCUACUUUACAAAGCAUGCCCACCACUACUUCACACCUCAUCUGGGAGGCAGUUGCAAUUCCCAUGUUACAGAUGAGAAAACUUAGAAGAAAUGACCUGCUUCAGUAGAGGGGGUUAGCAGCAGAACUCCAGGUGGUCCCAGACAAGGUGCCUCCUAGCUGCACCUGAAUGGCUGCUUUCCUCAAAGAGACCCAAUAGGUGAGCAGAUCCACAGAUGAAACAAGGUGAAACAUUUAGAAUGGCACAUGGCUUUGAUGGAAUCCCUAAAUAGUUCCCCAACUUUUAAACAAUAAAUCAAUUAACUCCUAUACUGCAUAAAGUAUACAGAAAUAUUUUCAAAGGGAAAAAAAUGGCAUGAGCAAGGGCUGCACACAAAAAAGGAAAAAGAGGAAACAGAAUAAAAGCCUAUGAUCAAAAUCUCACUCGUGAACAUAUAGGCAAAAAUCCAAAAUGAAUCCCUAGCUAAUCAAAUCCACACUCAUAUUCAAAGAAUCACUUUCAAUGAUCAGAUAAUUUGUCUCUAAAUGGAAGGCAGGGAUGAUAUGAGCAAGGCAAUCACUGGCUUCAUCAUAAUAUGGAAAAUAUAGAUCUACAAUUCAAAUUAAAUUUUCCCAAUACGUGUCAACAUGGCAUUCAAUAGCCUAUAGCAUCUCUUCUUGAUUAAAACUACAGACAAAACUAAACCCCACAACGAAGAGAAACUAUUUAAAAUAAGGAGCCAACUCUUAACUUAAUGGAGAUACACUAGAAUGGCUUCAUUUCAGAACUAGAAGCAACCUUAGUAAUUAAAGUUAAGCCCCCUCAUUUUCCAGAUGAAGAAACGAGAGAAACAGGGCCCAGAGAGGUUAAGUAAUUUGCCUAAUGUUACUCAGCUACUAUAUGGCAGAGCCAGGACUAAGACCCACAUCUUCUGGCUCCAAGUCUGAAGCUUUCUGUCAUGAGAAAUGCUGGCAAUAGCUAGCAGGGAAAAAAUAAACAAUACAGAGAAAGUGAAGAAAUAAAAUAUCACAUUGCAGAUAACACUUGCCCACCUGGCAAACAAAGGAGAGAGAGGUAGUUACUAGAAGAGCUCAGUGAGUUUCAGCAUGCAAGCCAGCGUCUCGGCUCAAACACACAGGGGACCGUCUUCACUCACGACAGUAAUGAAAGCAUUACUAAACUCAGGGAUGUACUUGGGCCACAAUAAUACUUAUUCAAAGAAAAUAAUAAAACCUUAAAAGGAGAGAUAAAAUACAAGAGCUCUACCCUCUCCUAGCUAGAAAAGCUGAGUAAAGCAAAAAAGAAUUCUCUCCAGUUUAAUAGAUUAAAUAUGCUACGACUAAUUAAAACUCCCAGGAUAGCUUUCUAAACAUUAGAAACAAUAUGACAAAAAAUAAACAUGAACCUAUCACAGAAUAUUAAUAAGUAGCAGUGACAGACUCAAUUUUUUGUUAAAUGUUUAAUUCAUACAAAAGGACAUUUGUAUCAUGUGUAAAAUAAAAAGAAUAAUGAUAAAAUGAGUAUCUGUGUACCCACUGCCCAGCUAAAGAAAUAGAACAUUUCCUCUAUCUUUGAAAUCCCCAUCCCAAUGACAUGUCCCUUCCCAAACUCCUCCAGAGGUAACCAUUAUCCAGAAUUUUGUUUUCAUUUAUUCUUUUGCUUUACUUUUUUCCAUGAGUAUACCUAACCCUAAACAAUUUAGAAUUUGAUUUUGCACUUUUUUAAAUGUAUAUGAUUGGAAAUAUAGGGUAUGUAAUCUCUGCAACUUGCUUUUUUGUUUAUUUGAAACUUACAUUCCCAAGAUUCAUCCAACUGAUGCAUGUAGAUAUAAUUCACAAUAAGCUGCAUAGAAUUCAUUGUAUGGAAUACACUGUAAUUUAUUUGAUUACUACCCAGCAUCAAGACAACAUUAAGGUUGUUUCCAACGUUUUGUAUUAUAGAAAUUGCUCCUGUGAACAUUCUGACAUCUCUUCAAAUACACAUGCCCAGAGUUUCUAUGCAAUAUACACCUAGGAACUUGCUGGGAGAGUGUACACGUGUCUAACUUUACCUAAAUAAUGCCAACUUGUUUCCCAAAGUAGAAAUACCAACUCCACCUAGCAGUAUCUAAGAGAUCCAACUCUCUAUAUGCCACCAACACUUGAUACUGUCAUGCUUUACACUUUUUUCUAAUCUAGUUGGUAGAAGAUGUAUCUUGUUUUCCUUUUACUUUGCAUUUUCUUGAUUACCAAUGAGGUUGAGCACCUUUGCAUUUUCUAUUUGGCUUUCCUCUUCUGUGAACUGCCUGUUAAAGUCUUUUGCCCCUAUUUCUAUUGCUUUCUGCUUCACUUUUUUCCCCUUAUUUUCAUAAGAUUCUUAUUUGUCUCUGUUUCCUUUUUAAGAAUCCUUCAUAUAUUCUCUCUACUAAUCCCUUAUCAAUUAUAUGUGUUUCAGUAUUUUUCUCCCACUUUAUGAUUGCCUCCUUCCUUUUACUAACAGAUGAGCAGAAGCUCUUCAUUUUAAUGUAGACAAACAUCAGUCUUCCUUUUUGGUUUUAAAGAUAUUCUUCACUGUUUUUUCCUAUUUCAAGGCCAAACAGAUACUCUCCUAUAUUGGUCUCUGGAAUUUAUAUAUAUGUAUGGUGUAAGAUAGGGAUCCAGUUUCAUUUUUUGCAUAUGGACAAAUCAGGUGGUCUAGCAUCAUAUAUUAAACAAUUCCUAACGAUAUGCUUUGCAAGUGCUGUCAAAUCAAGUUUCCAGAUAUAUGUGGAUCUUUUUUGUGCUCUCAACUAUGUUUUGCUGGUCUAUGUUUUUAUGCCACUCUCCAAACCAAACUAUUUUAAUAAACUUCUAUUAUUUUAGUGGUUACUCUAGACAUUUACAUUUUAACAUGCAUACCUAACAUAAAGUCUAAAAUUAAUCGAUAUCUUUACCUUCUGCUCAAACAAUUCAAAAUCUUAGAAGACCAGCUUGGUCACUCUACCUCCCAACUUACAUUCUAUUGCUAUCCAGUGUUUUAGUCUAUCUUGUUUGUGACAGAGACUGCUAGUUGCCUACCCCCAGCAAUUCCAAUCUUCAAUGUUUGCUGGGCACAUGUCCACCCAGAAUAAAGACUAUAUUUCUCAACUUCCCUUGCAGGUAGUUAUGGCCAUAAGAUAAAAGCAUAAGUACUUUCAGGAAAUUUCCUUGAAAGACAACUGGCAGAGGGACUUCUCUUAUUUCCUAUAAUGGCUGGAGCUUCAAAAUGCACCUACCAAGAUGGGGGCAACACCUAGAAACAGGUACAGCUGAAAGCCAUAUGGUUCCAUGUGAAUAUGAAACCACUAUACCAGCUCUGAAUUGCCUGCAUCCAGACAGUUGCAUAAGAGUAAAAUAAACUUCAGGGUCUUGUUCUAGUCACAUAAUUGUUGUUGGUGGUGAUGCUGGUGCCAGUCAGUGAUCCUUUAAAUAUACCCGCAUAUUUACCUACCUUUGCUCAUCAUUCCUUCCUGCAACUCAGACCAUCCAUCUGGAUAAUUUUCCUUAUGUCUGAAAUAUAUCCUUUAGAAUUUCCUUUAGUGAAGAUCUAUCUCUCAGUAUUUGCUUGUCGGAAAAUGCCUUUGUUUCAUACUCAUUCUUGAAAAACAAUUUUGCUGGAUAUAAAAUUCUAGGUUGAUAGAUUGAAGCUGCUAUUCCACUAUCUUCUGUCUUCCAUUGUUACAGGAGAAAAAUAAGCUGUAAGUCUAAUUAACAUUCUUCUACAGGUAUUCUUCUAUCUGUCUCAUUUCUCUCACUAGUUUUAUGAUCUUCUCCUUGUCUUUGGUAUUGUUUCACUAAUAUGUUGUCUAGGUAUGGAUUUAUUUUUAGGUAACAUACUUGGAAUUUGUUGGAUUUCCCAAAUCUAAGAAUAAGUGUUCCUCUCUUACAUUUUAUUAACUCUCUGCCAGCUAUUAAUUUUUUAAAUUUUAAUUUAUUUAUUUUGCCUCUCAGCUCCAAAUCCACCCUUCUUUGCCCUGGUUUGUGAUGCUGGAGUAAGACAUUUCUUCUUUACUAUCCAUCUCUAUGUUAGGCUUUGUCAAUAGAAGUUGCUGGAAAGACACUGCAAGAACAGAUCAGGAAGAAAGGACUUUCCUCCUUUUAGCCUGAUGUUUUCUGUGUGGCCACCUCUGGUUCAGGGUAUGAGGGUCUGGUUGCAUUCACUUCAGUGGCCCCCACAGUUCAACUUUGGCCUGCACAGUCCAACAAGCUUCCCUCCACUCUGCAGCAGGCUGCUUCUGUGAUGCAGUUGUGUUGGGAACCCUCUGAAAGUUUCUUUGCCACUGGUAGGCUGCACAUCCUUGUAACAGCCACAGUCUCUCUUUAAAGGUUUCAAUCUCAGCCUUGGAGGGAGAAGCCCUCCUCUAAGUUUCUUCCUUUUUCACUCUCCCUUACCAGGGGUAGUAACUGCUUUUAUCCUUUUUAGUAAUUAACCAUCUUUAAAGUUAGCAAUUCUUUAUAUUAAAAUUCCCCUGUUCAAAUUACUUGUCUCAUUUCUGUAUCCUGAUACAACCUCUUCCUGAAACUAUGAUUAGACAUUAUGCCUUCUCAUUCUAUCUACCACUUCCUUUGCCUUUCUUAUUUUCUUUCCUAUCUCUGUCUCUUUGUGCUACAUUUGCAUAGUUUCUUCAGCUCUAUCUUCCCAUUCCCUAAUUCUCUCUUCAACUGUCUCUAAUAUCUUUCUUACCCUGUGCAUAAGUUCAAUUUUCAUAUAUUUCAUUUCUAGAAGUUCUAUUUAGUUCUUUUAAAAAUCUGCUAGUUCAUGUUUUUAUAUUUGCUUACUUUUGGGUCAUAUUUUCAAUUUUUAUUUCUUUAAAUAUUGUAAAUAUUUUUAUUUUUAGCAUCAGAUAAUUCCAGUACAUGUAGUAAUUGCAGGUUUGAAUCUGCUGUCUAUUGCUUCUGCUGGUUCCCCCUCAUGGUGACUUGUUUCUUUGUGUUUUGUGAUUUUUUAUUGUGAUCUCAUGUACCUUGGAAAUUUAUCUGUGAGAAUUUUUAAAAGCCUAGGUUGAGAACUCCUCCUCCAGAGAGUUUGUGUUUGCUUCUGCAAGAUAAAAUGAAUUCUAGGCUUGAUGUUUUUCAGACCACACAGGUAAUAUGAAUUUGGGCAACAAACCCAAGAAAAGGCCGGCUUGUGGUUUCAAAUUCUCAUUUUUUUGCUCUCUUCCAACUACUAAUAAGAUCAAAACAGACAAGUUUUCUUGCUGUCCUCCUCUGUGGGAGUUUUUCCUAAUAUUCUCUUACACUAAUGAUUAUGUACUUUUUCAGGGUUCCCAGCUUUAUGUGAGGGAUCCUAUCAUAUUCUCUAUCUUGACUAGUCCCUAGGAACACACACAACUAUGAAAACUGAAGAUCAGUGCUAAAAGGAUUCAGUAUACACCUCCCAGAGAGAAAGCCAGUUUCAGAGUUAGGUUUUCUCUCUGGAUUAAUUAAUUCACUUAACGCAUAUUUGAACAGUCACUGUUGUAUGUGCUUGGGACACACUAGUGAACAAAAUAGACAAAGAUCCUUGUCCUCAUGGAGUUUAUAGUCUAGCAGGAGGGAGGAAAACAAAAUAAAGAAGUUAUAUACUGUGUUACAAAGUAAUUAAAAAACAAAAGACCAGGUGGGGGGUACAGGUGUAAUAUUAAAUAAGGUGUAAGGUGUCAGGGUAGGCCUCCUUUAGGGCAAGGACCUAAAGGAGGUGAGGAGUGAACCAGUGUGGUACCUAGAAAAGUGAUCCAGGCAGAGGGGAAAGCUGGUGCAAAGAUGCUGAGGCAGGAACAUGCUGGGUGAGUUCAAGGAACUGCAAGGAGGCUGAUAUGAUUAGAGUGGGGUGAGCAAGGCGAAGAGGGUGGGGGAGGUGGUCAGAGAGGAAACAGGGUCAGAUCACAAAGGGCUGCGGGAGCUACUGUAAGGGCUCUGGCUUUAAUAUGGAGUGAGACAGGAGCCAAAGAAGGGUUUUAGGUAGAAAAGAGACAUGAUUUGACUUACAUUUAAAAAGGAUCCCUCAGGCUGGUGAGUUGACUGGCAUUUACUCUAAGUGAAAUGGAGAUUCCUACUUUCACUUAUUUUUUGACCUCUGAAGAUUCCCUGCUAUCUCUUAAGUCAGGACACAGUUUUCUUUGUUGUCAGUGGGGAGGCUGUUUGGGGUAUCUAGUCUACCACAUUGCUGGAGAUAGAAGGCACCCUACCAGUUUUCUAAACAUAGCACAAAGCUGUUGUCAAAAGAAUGGGAUAAAAACUAGAGAUCAUUGAAAAAAAAUGAAAUUAAUGUACAGUAUGGCAAAGCAGAAAUAAAAAAGGGUUAGAAAUCAUUACUUAAGAAUUGUUAAGGCAAGAACUAACCAGAUUCAGACCUGACAAAUACUACUGCAAUAUAUUCCAUACGGAUUCACACUUUUUAAACCAUAAAUAAUUAGAAUAAAGUACAAUGACAAGUAAGAAAGCCCAAUCUUUUCAAGGGAGGGGGUGUCUCUGUACAGAGUGGGGCAACUAGAGCUUGUACCCUGAAUUUUGCUUCCCAAGAUUCUCGUAAAACUCCCAUGGUACUUGCCCCCUCUGGGUACCUCCCCACACCUAACUAUACCUUGCAUUUAUGAAGUGCUAAUACCCAUUUAUUGAAUUGCAUCUUUAUACCCUAAAUAUAUGUCGUUUUAGACCACUCAGUGAACAUUUAAAAUGUUUAUAAAUAAAGAGUCCAUCUAACAUAUCAGUAAAGAAAACCAUAUCUCAUAGUAUAUAAUUUUUUUUAAGUUAAAAACAAUGUGCACUAUGACACUUAAAAAAACAGGAAUGAAAGUAAAUUUUAACAAUAGUUGUCUCUGAAUGGUGGGAUUAGUGGGUUAUUUUAUUUUACUGUUUGUGCUAAAUUUUUCUCCAAUAAAUGUUCUAUUUGUUAUAUAUAUACACCAUAUAUAUGGUAAUCUAUAAACCGCAGAGCAGUUAGAGACAAAUUUCCUUACUAUUAAUUGCAGCACACUUAGUUAAGAUAUAUGAUAGUGUGUUGAAACUUCUAUGAAAGAAUAACAAAGAAUCACAAAACUAAAAUAAUAAACCAUCAGAUUAAGAAAAAAUAUAUGUAUCAAAUAUUAUAUUAAAUACAUACACACAUGCAUAUGCAGGCUCAUCUUCAUUUGCAAGAAAAAAAAAAUUUAAGACCUCCCAAAUUAGGCGAACAGAGAAUAUAAAAAUAUAUUGAUGGGACUUCCCUGGUGGUGCAGUGGUUAAGAAUCCGCCUGCCAAUGCAGGGGACAUGGGUUCAAUCCCUGGUCUGGGAAGCUCCCACAUGCCGCAGAGCAACUAAGUCCGUGUGCCACAACUACUGAGCCUGCGCUCUAGAGCCUGCAAGCCACAACUACUGAGCCCGUGUGCCACAACUACUGAAGCCUGCGUGCCUAGAGCCCACGCUCUGCAACAAAAGAAGCCACCACAAUGAGAAGCUCACACGCCGCAACCAAGAGUACUCCCCGCUCGCCGCAACUAGAGAAAGCCCACGCAGCAAGGAAGACCCAACACAGCCAAAAGUAAAUAGAUAAACUUAUUUAUUUUUUAAAAAAAGGAUCACUUAAAAAAAAAAAGACAUUGACAUCAAAGGAAAUAAAAUAAACCAAAAAAAAAAGUUUU
Molecule: long non-coding RNA, 9497 nt
Organism: Orcinus orca (killer whale)
Lineage: Eukaryota; Metazoa; Chordata; Mammalia; Artiodactyla; Delphinidae
Exons: 2
Source: RefSeq, a predicted model, not a curated record